Dictyocaulus viviparus (bovine lungworm) is the source of this 72-nucleotide non-coding RNA. The record is from the annotation of a GenBank genome assembly. NCBI's taxonomy places the organism in Eukaryota, Metazoa, Nematoda, Chromadorea, Rhabditida, Metastrongylidae.
GCAUCGGUGGUUCAGUGGCGGAAUGUUCACCUGCCAUCAGGGACGUUUCAGGUUCGAUUCCCGGGCAAUGUA